RNAcentral lists this long non-coding RNA (263 nucleotides) under Cyanistes caeruleus (blue tit). RNAcentral describes it as "lncRNA (ENSCCEG00000000455.1)". Lineage: Eukaryota; Metazoa; Chordata; Aves; Passeriformes; Paridae. The record is from RNAcentral.
CAGAGGUGUGUGGGUGUGUGUGGGUGUGUUUAACACCUGUCUGUGUCUGUGUGAGCUGUGUGGCCGUGCUGCAGCUCCCUGCAGAGCUGCCCCAGCCUGAGGGAGGAUCCCUGGAUCCCAGAGCCGGCUGUUCCCUGCUCACCGCGGGCUCAGGGGGGAGGUUCCACGGGGAGGUGAUGCUGGCUCGGGGAGCCUCAGCACGGAGAUGGGCUGUUCCUUGGGGCUGUUCCUUUGGGGCUGUUCCUUUGGGGCUGUUCCUUGGG